CAAUGGAUGCUCUUAAGUCGCAUUUUAUCCUAUGCAUUUUUAGAAGUUUUCACGAAACCAAUUUCAAUGAAUGAGAGACUUUUAAUUCACAAUUCAACAUCUUGAGAGAAAAGAGAAAUAUGCAACUGCGAAGUUCUCACGGGAGAAGUCCUGAGCACACUGCAAGGCAUCCUGGGACCACAGUCUCAAGGGUCACAGAGGAAGGGACUUCGGGGCUGAGACCUGCAGGAAGUGAGGGAACUGCAGGCCUGUCCUCACCCAGGGGAGGUGGAGCCCCCAGACGCUGUGAUAUGAAAUUCCAGAUCAUGGGAGGGAGAGUUUGAAGAAGGAAGAACCACCAAUAGAAAGCGGUCCCCAAAGAGGUAUCGGGGAUGGCACCCAGACAGGAGCACAUGUACCACUGCCCAGAAUGUGCAUUUCACUAGACAAGUGACCACAAAAGGCGGAGCACAGAGGACUUUUAGGAUGGUGAAGCUACCCAGUGAGAGACUACAAUGGUGAAUAUACGGUAUUAUUCAUUUGUCGAAACCCACAGAAGGCACAACAUCAAGAAUGAACGCUAAUGUAAACUACAGACUUCACAGGGCGACGAUGUGUCAAUGCGGUUCACCAACUGUAAUCAAUGUACCAAUCUAUGGUGGAUACUGAUAAUGGGGAGGCAGGGGGAAGGAAGGAGAAAUAUAUAGGAACUGUCUGUAUUUUCUGUUCAAUUUUGCUUGAACCUAAAACUCUUCUAAAAAUAAUGUUUAUUUAAAAGGCAGGGGGGAUGGACUAAGUUCAGAGUUUCCUGGUAGCCAAGGGAAAGAAUGUCUUCCAUAGCUGUUCAUACAAAAAAAUCCAGCUAUGUGUCAAGAAUCAGGAACUUUUCCCUCAUAAAUAUCCAUAUGAAUCCCAAAAAUCACAAAAAUUAAAAUAAAUAUCACAGUGCUAGGUAAUGAAAUUGUACUGCAACCAUAAAAGAGAGAAAACCACUUCCCAAAACUAUGAAAAAUGAGAGUCACAGUGAACUAGGGCAAAUAAUCAGAACUUCCUGGGUAUGCCUUUAUCUUUCCUCAACAGAGAUAAUUGGUCUUUCACAUUCCUCGUGCUGUCACCAAAAAUAACAGAGCAACAGCAGGGUGGAGGAAGAGCACCAGCACGGUGGAGGAAGAGCACCAACAUGGCAGAUAAAGAGCACCAACAUGGCGGAGGAAGAGCACCAACAUGGCGGAGAAAGAGCACCAACAUGGCAGAGGAAAAGCACCAACAUGGCGGAGGAAGAACACCAACAUGGCGGAGGAAGAACACCAACAUGGCGGAGAAACAGCACCAACAUGGCGGAUGAAGAGCACCAACAUGAAGCUAACCGCGUUCUCUUCACAGUUUGCCUUUCUUCCUCUUCUUCGUUGCUUUGACCGUCCUGCACAUAUCCAUUCUUAUGUCCAUCACCAAGACCUGAAAACCUCCACUGACUGGCUUCCCUACAGACUGAGAAUAUGGCAGAAAAGCUUAUAAAUCACAGCUGUGCAUUGUCCAAUCAACAUUCAACAGUGAUUCUUUUGAAAGUGACUGUGAAGAUCUGAAACUCUCAAGGAAACACAGAGAA
This 1585-nucleotide long non-coding RNA is filed under the name Homo sapiens (human). RNAcentral describes it as "HSALNT0360608". The record is from RNAcentral. Lineage: Eukaryota; Metazoa; Chordata; Mammalia; Primates; Hominidae.